Anarrhichthys ocellatus (wolf-eel) is the source of this 808-nucleotide long non-coding RNA. RefSeq lists it as uncharacterized. The record is from RefSeq and is a predicted model, not a curated record. The transcript has 4 exons. NCBI's taxonomy places the organism in Eukaryota, Metazoa, Chordata, Actinopteri, Perciformes, Anarhichadidae.
GAACAGGCAAACGAGAAAUCUACCAUUCCAUCAAUCGAGGAAGCAGCUUUAUUUCAUCGGGCACAAUAAUAAUGGCUGCCACCCAACAAAUCCGUUUUCUUCCCCGUGAACCAGUCGACAUUGGAGGCUCACCGAUGUCUCGGUCGUCGGCCUGAAGCCGCCGUUACCUUCCGUUGCUUCCCUCUUGGCGUGGCUGCUUACCCACAAUGCACUGCCAGAGGGCCUUGUGUGUGUCUGACAGACCGAUGUAACUGUUGUCUCCACGUCACCAGUCGGUCCGCAUCACAAAAGCACAGCCGGAAGGUCCUGGUCGAUCUUGUUUGUGGUCUCACUGACAUCAUGUCUAGCACAGGUGAUCUACCAGCCAUAGAGGAUUCUGGGAUGGGCGGGAUGAGGCUCCCCAUCGGGAUGACCCGACGGGCCCUCAGCUACGACGACAACCUGGAGGCCCCCAUGUCCACGCCCCCCCACGACAUCAGCAUCAACAACCUGUGGAGACGACCCGUCAUACCGGAGAGGAAGUUCACUCGUCUGGCUGAGGUGAGAACUAACAAACACAGCUGCUGCCGAGGAAGACGCUGAGCGCAGAUGAUGAGGAAGACGCUGAGCGCAGAUGAUGAGGAAGACGCUGAGCGUAGAUGAUGAGGAAGACGCUGAGCGUAGAUGAUGAGGAAGACGCUCAGCGUAGAUGACGACGAGGAAGACGCUGAGCGUAGAUGACGACGAGGAAGACGCUGAGCGUAGAUGAUGACGAGGAAGACGCUGAGGGUAGAUGAUGACGAGGAAGACGCUGAGCGUAGAUGAUGAC